UGCGUAGGCGGUCUGUUAAGUUGGAUGUGAAAACUCUGGGCUCAACCCAGAGCCUGCAUCCAAAACUGGCAGGCUAGAGUUCUGGAGGGGGUAGCGGAAUUCCUGGUGUAGCGGUGAAAUGCGUAGAUAUCAGGAGGAACACCGGUGGCGAAGGCGGCUACCUGGACAGAAACUGACGCUGAGGCACGAAAGCUAGGGGAGCAAACA
This 207-nucleotide ribosomal RNA is filed under the name uncultured bacterium. Its description in RNAcentral is "partial 16S ribosomal RNA". It matches the Rfam family "Bacterial small subunit ribosomal RNA", at positions 568 to 774 of the family's 1533-position model. The record is from RNAcentral.